GAUGAACGCUGGCGGCGUGCCUAAUACAUGCAAGUCGAGCGAACAGAUGAGGAGCUUGCUCCUCUGACGUUAGCGGCGGACGGGUGAGUAACACGUGGAUAACCUACCUAUAAGACUGGGAUAACUUCGGGAAACCGGAGCUAAUACCGGAUAAUAUAUUGAACCGCAUGGUUCAAUAGUGAAAGACGGUUUUGCUGUCACUUAUAGAUGGAUCCCGGCCGCAUUAGCUAGUUGGUAAGGUAACGGCUUACCAAGGCAACGAUGCGUAGCCGAACUGAGAGGGUGAUCGGCCACACUGGAACUUAGACACGGUCCAGACUCCUACGGGAGGCAGCAGUAGGGAAUCUUCCGCAAUGGGCGAAAGCCUGACGGAGCAACGCCGCGUGAGUGAUGAAGGUCUUCGGAUCGUAAAACUCUGUUAUUAGGGAAGAACAAAUGUGUAAGUAACUAUGCACGUCUUGACGGUACCUAAUCAGAAAGCCACGGCUAACUACGUG
RNAcentral lists this ribosomal RNA (497 nucleotides) under uncultured bacterium. RNAcentral describes it as "partial 16S ribosomal RNA". It matches the Rfam family "Bacterial small subunit ribosomal RNA", at positions 28 to 507 of the family's 1533-position model. The record is from RNAcentral.